RNAcentral lists this long non-coding RNA (8034 nucleotides) under Pomacea canaliculata. RNAcentral describes it as "uncharacterized LOC112558930, transcript variant X2". The record is from RNAcentral. Lineage: Eukaryota; Metazoa; Mollusca; Gastropoda; Architaenioglossa; Ampullariidae.
CUGGUUUCGGAGAGCAGGACUGCGACGCUGGACGCGCGUGUUGGCAAGAGUCUCCGACAAGACAGAGAGACGCACAGCACUCAGCCAAUCCAGCGAAGCUGGGGCACAAACGGACUUGGCAAGGACUGAACGCGGCAAGGUGCACACCAGAGGCGCAUUUACAUCCAGCCCAGAAAAAAAACCAACAACCCAGAGCAGCGAAAGAGAUGCGAAGCGAAGAAAGCGCAAGGUAGGCAAGGCCUUGACACGAGAUCAGCCCGGCAAAGGUGGGAGACAGAUUGAGCUGCCUCGUUCCCAACAUGAUGUUCGUGGUUUUAUCAGUGGGAACAUGGAAUAUGGCGACAUGGAACUGUAAAUAAAGCUGUCAUGCCAAUGUCAGGGACGAUGCUUUGAAAGCGCCGUAGUGUCAGACCAACAUCUUAAAACCAUUAUAAAAUCCACAGCAGGUUGUUUCAAAUUGUAAAGACUUUCAAUAAUUUGAAAGAUUAUUCUAAACAGCAAGAGCAGAAAAGAUAGAUAAGUUACAUUUCUGGAUUUGAAGUCUGUUCAAAGAAACGCAAAAAAGGAAAAUAAACAAAACAAUGUUUGUUUCCUAAAAAUUGUUUCGUUUGUACGCGAUAAAUAAAAUCAACAACAGACCAAGGACAAAACAAAACAAAAAUGUUAUUCGCGCCAGACCUAUGAAAGUUUAGUUUAUUCCUUGCUGCUCCUUUGAGGAGCAUAGGGCCUCACAGCUAUGAAAAGCUGCAGAAAAAUAUUUAAAGAACAAACGAUUUGAUGAGAGCAGUACCCUCAAAUAGAAAGACCUUUGUUUAUCCGCAAUCGGUUGUUAGUGUAACGGUGUUUGCCAUAUGCAGGCACGGGACUUCAUGGUAUGCAUCGGUUUUCCUCCAGAAAGUUCUACACAUUACUAUGGCAAGCUAACCUAGGAAAGUCGGCAUAGCCUUGUAGUAGCUGUAAGUAAGCACGUAGCUUGCCAGGAAAAAAUACGCUCAGGUUAUUAUUGCCUGGUCACACUCCAGUAAAAACAUCCACAGCCUGACAUUCUUAAAUUACCUAUUACCUACAAGUUGUAGCUAACCGUCGCCUCCCCAAGCUCAGUAGCUGUUUCGAAAAAGCUGCGAACGAGGAAACCCGCAGUUGUCUGUCUUCGUUUCAAGUAUUUUUCGUGCAUUUUCGAAACAACGCACGUGCGUGACAUGACAGUGAAAUGUCAGAUCGCCUCUUGGUGGCAGAAACAGCGACCACCUCAACCCCCACCCCCUGCUCAGGCCACCAUAGAAAGAAGGCGAGUAAAGAGCCUUCAGUCGCAAAAUGCGCCGCAAAUUUCCUCAAAUUUCUGAGUGGAAAGGUGGAUGCUUGUGGAAAGACUUCAUUUGCGGCGAGGGACAAUAUAUAAACAAUGGAAGAACACUCAACAUAAACGACCAUUUUAACAAAAGUUCUAUGAAGACAUCGAGUGAAUACAUUACAGACAAGUGUUUUCAAAGAUCCUACCACACUUCAAGCCAAGACUACAGACAGCCAUUCGACUAUCUUGUGAUGACAGUUGCGGAACGAUGUCAUUAAAACGCCUUUGGAGCUCUGUCAAGCGUUUGGUACAGCACAACACAUUCCGACAUUUUGUUUCUCGUCUCCCGACUGUUAGGAGCGAAUCCCGUGCAGGAAGACAAGCUGUGGUGUUGCGGGGCUUUGCCUGUCAGACACGAGGCUGGACAGCUGCCUAAUGUGCUUACUUGCCCUUUCGCAUUAACCGCGCGAGCCAGGCCGGGGCAAGGUAUAGGUAAACUACAGCUGUCGAGGUAAGAAGUGAGCUUGCACCUCAAACAUCGGAGGUGACUGUAUGUCAAAACGCAGUAUAACCAGAGCCUGCAUGUGUUCGUGUUAAGAACAAGUGGAUUUACCGCACUGGCUUGCUAGUGCAUAUCCAUCCCUUCCUUCUAUUAGAAGUUCAAGCCUGCGCACGUGCACACCCACACACACACCUCUCUCUCUCUCUCACACACACACGAUCAGUAAACGCACUUGCAAAAGCUGCACAGUUUGUAGCAGUUACUGAAAUAUUAUCAGGAAUAUUUUAAUAUCGGAUGUUUAUACGUGGAUUUCUUACAUCCUGCAUGCAUCAGGGUCUUAAAAAAAGUAUCCGUUUAUCUUCUUAUUUACACUACCAUAUGUAAAGAAAGUUUCUUUCAUGCUGAAGCAAUAUGCUAUCACUGUACAGCUGACAUAUUAUCAUGCUACAGUUGACAUUCUGUCAGCAGUGCAGAUGGUGAAGCAGCUGGGCUUGUACAUCUUCUGCAGUGUUUAUGAUCCUGUUUGGCUCAUGAUCUAAAUACAGAAACUCCCUUCAUACCUGUACUCACGUUGUCAGGGAUUUAAAUACACAAGUUCCCUUUAUACCUUAAGCUUAUUUAAUUUGUCAAAGAUUUAAAUUCAGAAACUUCCUUUAUACGUUGAUAUUCUUCAAUUUGUCAGAGAUUUAAAUACAAAAACUAUCUUUAUAUCUUAAUCCUAUUUAUUUGUCAGUGGGGAGUAGUUCAAUCGCAUGCUCAGGGAGUAACAAGCCAAUAUGGACGAACGUUUGGCCAUGAGUCGCAAAAGUUUUGACAUAAAGGUGAUACACAAACUUUGCCAAAAUCGGUCAAUCGUCCGUUCACAUUUGUCCGAUUCAGAAGGACUUUAAGGACGUGGAAGCGAAACACGGUUUAAUGUCAUUUGACUAAUUUCAUGGUUUAACCUCAUUUCACGGUUGAAUAUCAUUUCUGCAUGAAACGUUAUCUGCGCGACCAAGUUUCAGAAGUCAACAUGUAAAGAAAGCUGCUAAAGAAUGUGAACAUGUGUAAAGACUAAUUUAUGGGAUAUAACGGUGUAUGUCCAAGGACAAACCCAGCAAUCCUCCAAUUACUUCAGGAAACUCCCAGAAUGUCCAGAAACGGUAAAGCGUCGCACGACUUUGGAUUUCCUGCCAAACGGAGAGGAGCUGUUUUGAAAAUCUUGAGACUGUACAGCACGAACACAACAGUCAACUUGAGUUAGACGGUUACUGUCUAGCUGGGGAACUGCGCCAUUAAUUCCAACGGCGUAAUUGUGGCUACUGGAACCUCGUUUGCGCUGCUGACUGUGGCCCUGCAGCUUCUCGGCAAGUGACAGGUCCACGUGAAGACGCGCGAUUGCAGCAACCAACGGCCACUGAGUACAUCGUUUCGUUUUUUCAAAAUUCUUAUUGUCUGUCUUGCUGAACUAUUAUCACACAGCGUCGAUUCCAACGCAAGCAGGUCUGUAGCGCAGCAACAAUAGCCAGGUCUCACACUGUAUGACAGCCAGUAUAUUAAUACAAAUAAAGUAAGCCACAGCAUAAUGUACGAAGUGCUCACACUGUAUGGCAGCAAGUCUAUUUUAUAAAAUAAGUAAGUGUAUAAACUCUUUAAAGAAAAGCACUUCUAAAGCUUAACUAAUGGAGAAUUAUGAAAUCACGUGUGCUUAUUUUUUUUUUAAUUGUUGAAACAGAUAUUUUGAAAACGAACUUUCAUGCUGGUUAGAGUUUGUGUAGUCUUUUUUUUUCUAUUUUGCUUGUUUCUCUGAAUGCUGGUUUUUCAUCUCUUCAGUUGACAUUACCACGCUUCUCUGCCAUGCACUCAGCGCCCCAUACCACCUGCCUCUGACCACGACAUACAACGAUGUGUAACGAUUACAUUGAUUAAAAACAAAUCUUUAUCAAGAUUCUCGAAAAUAAACCAGCAUGUUUUACACAAAAGAACGUACUGAAGGAAACAACAUGGGCGCAUACUGUGUGAUACGUUAGAAAGAAAGCUGUAUGUUUUUGGUUGGGAGAGGAGUGGUAGAGCCAAGGAAAAAAGCAGAGCACCAACCCCAAAGAUUGAAAAUGAAGACGGGAAUUUCAACAGCAAACACUGAAAGUUCUGUAGUGGUGUAUAAUCAAUGAGGCGUCUGAACAGCUGUCUACCAUGUUGACUUUACAUUUGAAAGGCACCAAAGUGAACCUGGCUUCUGGAGCCAAAAGUGCGAGCCUCUACAAGAAGCUACUGUUCCUUUUCCUUCUCAUAAAUCAAAGAGUAUGGUCAUCCCGCGGGUGGGCGACGUUUGAUAAUUAUGCCAAAGCUUUACCGUUUGUCGGAUACUCACCUAAUGUGGCAGGCAUACUUUUCUCAUUUAUCAAUCCGUCGCAGACUAUGGUUGGUGUAUGUUUAUUUUCUCUGUUAUAAGAUGUUACAUAACCAGCGGCUCCAAGGAAGGGAAAAAGAUUAUAAAGAGCCAACUACGAUAUACCUUUCCUGGACACAGUACAUUUCGACAACGGGAUUUCAGGGGAGGGGAGGGUCCUCAUGCAAGAUUGAAAGGUAAAGAGACAAGAAGGGGGCAGGUGAGCGAGGCAGUCGCAUGGGAGCAACUUUAUAUCUCCCCGUUUACUACGAUCAGCCACUGGUUUGCUGUUCUUCUCACCCCCUCAAAAAAAGCCGUUUGUUUCACAGGCAGGAGACGGAACGUCACCCAGCUCCACCACAAUCUUAUCUCUCCUUGACUCGUAACGUCAGGCCCUCUCCGCCCAUUUGGAAUCAGUUGCAGAUUGUCAUUACUUGCCAAAGAAAAAGAAGCAAGGUUUUUUUUGUUGUUGUUUGGCGGUGGUGGUGGUGGGGGGUGUGCCCUAGUGAACCACAAGACUUCGUGCUCUCCCUUGCAUACACGUCUAAGGCAGCGGAGGAUACAGACAAUUAAAAAAGAUCACUGCCAGGAAAUUCUAUUUUUAACAAGGGGUGACAUUUUUGGAUUUGUUGCAACAGAAGCAACAAUUACAACAGCAGUAGCGGCAACGGCACCGCCAUGCUUUUUCAGGGAUGCGCAGACUGUGACGUCACCAUUGAACAAAAAUAACUUGCCGUUAACUUCAAACGCCACCGAAUGGAUUUUAUAAAUACUGACAUCUAAAAAUACCAGCAGCACGCAUGCUUCUGAGGUAGCUCUCCACCUCACUAAAUAUCGAAAGUUUUUCAAGCUCGAAUAUUUGGGCUAUAAAAACUAAAUUUUGCUACAAUGAACAUAUUACACAAGAGCUCAGGAAGUUCAUUAAGUAUCCGGGGAAAGAACCUCAAAUAGCAAAGUUCCGGUUGAACGUUGUUUGCUGUUUGUGAAUAGAAACUCGCUUGAGUUCUGCUGAAGGCUGGACGUACAUCUGUUGGCAAUAAUUCACUGCCAACGUUGUACCGAAGCUAAACCAAGGUUAUUUGCAUGGGUCACAACAUAUCUUUUGUAGGGAAAAACCCGAGAGAUUGUGCGCACGCAUGUUGUGGUUUUCUGAUUCGGGGUUGCAUGAGCGAAAAGAAAAUUAUGAUAUAUUUUUUCUCGCUUUAUGACAUUUGCAGGCGUCCGUCUACGUCCUGCCCUCACUGAAUUACGCCCACGUAAGACAAGAAAUAGGGAAAAAAUCUUACUUGCUUCAAAGUUUCGCAAGUAAAUGUACAUAUCAGACAAGUCUUCGCUUGGAGCGCUGCUAAAUCUCGAGACACCUUUCAAGAAAGUUAUUUUCGGGCAUCGUAACACCCGCGCUGGGGCCAGGCCCCUGACAGUACAGCCUCGCUAUAGACGCACUCACAUUCCGCGAAGCAGUGAAUGACUCACCAGAAAGGCUCUCUAGCUUCCGGAGGGUACAAACAGUCCCGUCUUAUUUUUCUUGUACUUUCUUUACAUGUUUUCGCUGUUUCCUGCUUGUCCUUUUGCACCUUCAGAGAACUGUGGUGUUAGUAAAGGUAGUCGGCUCGUUGCCUGGCCUGACAGACUCCUGGCUUGCUGAACGCGCAGGUGAGAUGAGGUGUAAAAAGUGGUUUGCACGCCAGUCUUACCCCGUCUCUCUUAACUUUUUCUACAAGGGUCAUCGAAGGAUAAAAAGAUGAUGUUUGGAUAUGGUCUAUAUUAACUGCAGAUAUUGUGUUAUGUAAGUUGACAGUAAACACAGCAUCUGCACGUCACUCAAACUGACGGUCAACAAAAAGCAGUUGUUCGUCGUGUGACGAUAACGAUGGCGUGUCACACAUACUGCCACAUUUUCAUCAAAGACCAUACUUGUAGUCCACCUGGAUAUCGAGUCUCAGAUAUGCUAAAAAUAGCGAAAGCCCUUGAGCUCUAAGUCCUGGGUCCUAUAAAAUGUGAAUCAUCUAGCUCCAUUUUAAUCGUUACAUUUAUUACGAUAUCCUAGUUACGCCCCUUGACUUACUCUUUGGUGUGUGAGUCUGAGCUAUUCUAAGUAAACAUAACUGUCGUCUUGGAGUGUGUUAUUCUGUUCGUAGUAAGGCAGAACGCUAUGAAACAGAACAACAUUGAGCACAGUUAUAACAAAACGCGGCAUUUAGCCGCACAAAAUUAUGUUAGCUAUAUGCUCUAUGUGUGAGUGAGAGAGACAAAUGGUGAAUUAAAAAUAAAAAAGAAUUCUUACACUUAUUGACUGCUUCUUGUUCAGGCUAUUAUAUUUUGUAUUGAAUUGCUCUUUGCCAGUUUCCGUGAGAAAGUUUGGAUGCAGAGGAACUGAUUACGAACAUAUCAAAAGGAGAGUGCUAAACACAGCUGACAGGAGAGUCUGUUUUCGUAGAAACCGGACAAAGCCAUCACAGUCACUGUGCCGACAGCAGCAAACCUCUAUAUGAGCAAGCCUCAUGUACAGGCCAUAUAUAGGGCAGUGUAAAUGAAUGCAAAAAUUAUAAUAAAACACACAAACUAUAUCCUCGCAUGUGAUGACAUAGCGUUUUCUUUUUUAAAUAAAUACUAACUGAUGUGACAGUCCGAUAAAAGUCAGGACAGAACCUUAGAGAAAAAAGUAAUAUUCAAACUUGCAUGCACACACGUCUAACCUUCACACACUUUAUACAAGAGAUAAUACACAGGCAAGGACGAAAAAGCUGAGCUGCACAAGAACAGUUUUGAAGAUAAUAUUCGGAAAGUCUGCUGUUGAGGGCCCAACAAACAAAGCCAUUAUACUCUCUGGAUGUUAGGGGAAUGGAUCAACAGGUAUUAUGACUGCUGACGUGACAAAGAAAGCCUUUUUGCUAACGAUACUGUGCUCUUUAUUCUCCAGCAGUCUCAAAAGACACUUUGCCACCAGAGGAAUAAAAAAAAUUGUUGCAAUGAUGGUGUUGUUUGCUGCUAUAUUUUGAGUCGACAGUCUCACGCAGCCAGAGAGGUAUAGCGAGAGGGAGAAGAGCUGACGCAGAAAAAAAGAGUAUGGGAGAACAUCGAUAUAAAAACCCGUAAAAAUGAUGACCAAAAAAAAAAAAAAUUAUGCACGCGUGCACGCACACACGCACACCAUAUAAACAAUUGGAAAGUGUGAACAUAUUACAACAUAAACAAUUUACUGUGCGUGCACGGUAUCUCCAUUUACCUUCCUCACAGUGCAAACAGCUACUGCUGAUGCAAUCCUGCAGCUGUGCAUGAACAGGAAGACAGGAAGAUAUAUAACUCACACUCUUCACUCUUCUAUCAUCUCUAGACAGGUGUGGCGGUGGACUUCUGAAAAAGCUGCUCUGGGUGAUUUCUUCCUCGCCACACUGUGCUGAACAUUUUUCAUAUAUCAUCCCCGUGAAGCCAGUAAACAUGCUAGUACAUACAGAAAUCUUAAACGUAAACCAUUUAGACUGUAAGACAGUGGAACAGCAACCUAUGUGUUAGUCACGUGUCACGAGCAGAGCUUACCACAACCUGACAACCGGAUGCAGCUGUAGUACUGAUCAUUGCAUUUUUGACCAGAUCUUCAUCGGUCACACGAAGUCAAAUAAAAAUAAAAAGACAGAAAACCCGGGUAAAAACGCGGUGUCUAUUGUUGCAAACAUGUGUAGCAGGAACAGUUCACUAUUUCCAGCAGUGUGGAUACGUCCGAAAGACUAUCAUUAAAGACUCAAACAUGCCAUGCUGAUUGCUUGUUUUUAACUGAGUGCACAGUAUAUCUUACCUGUCCCUCUCUCCUUCCCCCAACCCUCUAUGGAGUCAGGUACACAUUCCCAACAGCCAGAUAGACUGGGGGAAGUUCAC